UAGAGUUUGAUCCUGGCUCAGAUUGAACGCUGGCGGCGUGCUUAACACAUGCAAGUCGAGCGAGAAAGCUCUCUUCGGAGAGUGAGUAGAGCGGCGCACGGGUGAGUAACGCGUGGAUAAUCUGCCCUGAAGAUCGGGAUAACAGUUGGAAACGGCUGCUAAUACCGUAUAAUCUGCAUAUUUAACUUUAUGUGGGAAAGAUGGCCUCUACUUGUAAGCUAUCACUUUUGGAUGAGUCCGCGUCUCAUUAGCUUGUUGGUGGGGUAAUGGCCUACCAAGGCAACGAUGAGUAGCUGGUCUGAGAGGAUGAUCAGCCACACUGGGACUGAAACACGGCCCAGACUCCUACGGGAGGCAGCAGUGGGGAAUAUUGCGCAAUGGGGGAAACCCUGACGCAGCGACGCCGCGUGUAGGAAGAAGGCCUUCGGGUCGUAAACUACUGUCAAGAGGGUAAGAAACCGUAGAGUAUUAAUACGACUUGCGCUGACGGUACUCUAGAGGAAGC
This 505-nucleotide ribosomal RNA is filed under the name Desulfovibrio sp. enrichment culture clone NKiSL1. RNAcentral's name for it is "bacterial SSU rRNA". It matches the Rfam family "Bacterial small subunit ribosomal RNA", at positions 1 to 491 of the family's 1533-position model. The record is from RNAcentral. Lineage: Bacteria; Pseudomonadati; Thermodesulfobacteriota; Desulfovibrionia; Desulfovibrionales; Desulfovibrionaceae.